Aegilops tauschii subsp. strangulata is the source of this 1216-nucleotide long non-coding RNA. RefSeq lists it as uncharacterized. The record is from RefSeq and is a predicted model, not a curated record. Lineage: Eukaryota; Viridiplantae; Streptophyta; Magnoliopsida; Poales; Poaceae.
CAACCAAAUCAGCAAGACGCGGAUCAGUCGGUGUCAUCUGUCGAGCCAUUGAUGGCUCGUUCAUGGGAGCUUCACCUAUAUGUUUUGAGGGUGUCUCUGACCCGGCGUCUCUUGAAGCCCUAGCUUGCAGGGAGGCUUUGGCUUUAGCAUCUGAUCUAAUGCAAACACAAGUGGUGGUCGCAUCGGACUGCAAGGAAGUAGUCUCCAAUAUUUCUGAAGGCAAUGGAGGAACACAUGCACAUAUUAUCCGGGAGAUCAAGCAAAUGGAGUCUGAAUUUCAAUCUUGUUCUUUUAUUUUUGAACGUAGAACCACAAAUAUUGAGGCACAUAGCCUCGCUAAAUACGCGCUUAGUCUGUCUAUUGGUCGCCAUGUUUGGCUGCUUCAAGCUCCAAACUUGAGAUGUAUUCCUCAGAACAUUCUUGAGUAAUAAAGCGUGUGUUUUAGCCUAGAAAAAAAACCUCUCCUCUACUGCCUCCAGGGCUCCAGGCUCGCGAAUGACCACAUAAUGGAGAAAAAAAGCAUGGACACCGCCGCUGCUUCAGACUCGAGGGUGUAGAGCCCCAUGGCUUCGUUGAGGGCUGCGGGGAGAAGGGGAGCAGCUUCCUGCUGGGGUAGCCGAUCUGGGAGGAUGCUGGCGGUGGCGCUGGGGUGGGCAACGGGAGAAGGACGCCGACUCGCGGUCCCGCACCUGCUGCUUUGCGGUCAUCAACCACGGCAUCGUGCACGAGAAGCCGCCGCUCGACACCGUCAAGUCUCACCCCCGAGCACUAGCGUCGUGAUCCGCGCGGAGAGCCCAGCCGUCGAGCAAGAUCCCCUCGGCGGCCUCCUGCUCCUCGCCGGCGAGGCCCUCGAACGAGCAACCAAAUCCAGGAAGGACACGCCCUUUAGGGUUAUUAAUCGUAUUUUUUAUCGCUCGACAGAGCUUGUGCAUAUCGCCAGGAUUUGAGUAUUCAGAAGCCCACAAAUAGAGGCACUAUUUGAACUCAAUUUUGUCAUGGUUUACAGUCAGGUUACAUCUGACCCACAACUUAUAUAUGGGCUGUUUGGUUCCCAGCCACACCUUGCCACACUUUGACACGCCUCAUCUUAGGCAAGAUUGACCAAAUUAGGUAGGUGUUUGGUUCUAGCCACACCUAAGGUAAGAAUAUUUUUAUGACCAGUGAACCCCACUGAAGGAAAUAUGCCUUAGAGGCAAUAAUAAAGUUGUUAUUUAUA